CGUACGGGGACAACAUUCCGAAGGAGUGCUAAUACCGGAUGUGAUCAUCUUGCCGCAUGGCAGGAUGAAGAAAGAUGGCCUCUACAAGUAAGCUAUCGCUAAAGGAUGGGCCUGCGUCUGAUUAGCUAGUUGGUAGUGUAACGGACUACCAAGGCGAUGAUCAGUAGCCGGUCUGAGAGGAUGAACGGCCACAUUGGGACUGAGACACGGCCCAA
This 215-nucleotide ribosomal RNA is filed under the name uncultured bacterium. RNAcentral describes it as "partial 16S ribosomal RNA". It matches the Rfam family "Bacterial small subunit ribosomal RNA", at positions 134 to 334 of the family's 1533-position model. The record is from RNAcentral.